Molecule: ribosomal RNA, 500 nt
Filed under: uncultured bacterium
Lineage: Bacteria
Description: partial 16S ribosomal RNA
Rfam family: Bacterial small subunit ribosomal RNA
Source: RNAcentral
AUUGAACGCUGGCGGAAUGCUUUACACAUGCAAGUCGAACGGCAGCACGGACUUCGGCCUGGUGGCGAGUGGCGAACGGGUGAGUAAUGUAUCGGAACGUGCCCAGUCGUGGGGGAUAACGUAGUGAAAAUUACGCUAAUACCGCAUACGAUCUAUGGAUGAAAGCGGGGGAUCGCAAGACCUCGCGCGAUUGGAGCGGCCGAUAUCAGAUUAGGUAGUUGGUGGGGUAAAGGCCCACCAAGCCAGCGAUCUGUAGCUGGUCUGAGAGGACGACCAGCCACACUGGAACUGAGACACGGUCCAGACUCCUACGGGAGGCAGCAGUGGGGAAUUUUGGACAAGGGGCGAAAGCCUGAUCCAGCCAUUCCGCGUGCAGGAUGAAGGCCCUCGGGUUGUAAACUGCUUUUGUACAGAACGAAAAGGUUUCUACUAAUACUAGGAGCUCAUGACGGUACUGUAAGAAUAAGCACCGGCUAACUACGUGCCAGCCGCCGCCGUAA